RNAcentral lists this unclassified non-coding RNA (2323 nucleotides) under Hevea brasiliensis (rubber tree). Lineage: Eukaryota; Viridiplantae; Streptophyta; Magnoliopsida; Malpighiales; Euphorbiaceae. The record is from RNAcentral.
GGCUCAUUCCCAACUGCAACAUACCUGCACAGAUAUAGUAUAUGUAUUGAAUAAAUGCAGAGCAUAAUUAUGAGGCUUUAUUCUCAACAACGCCAAUAUUGGAAUCUAAACAAUCACCACGUAGAAUGAUCUACAAGCAAUGAAUGUAAAUGCUCCAUCAGUUUUCAAUGCAUUGCAUACAUUCCUUUCUCCUGAAUUCUACUAAUUUAAAGCAGGAAUAGAAGCAGCCAUAUAACUUCACUCAGCUCAACUCAACUCAGCCUUUACCCACAAAAUUUGGGGUCGGCUAUAUGAAUUCGCUUUCUCCACUCUAAACGAGUAGCUAGCUUGACACAAAUUGCCUCCCUUCCCUCCACUUCCUCUUGUACCCCCAACUAUUUUAGCUCACAAAGUCUGAAGUCCUGCAGACAAGAUGCAAGAUAUAACACUGAUGGUUUGACUGCUCAACCCUAUUUCAAUUUUUUUUUUUUCCUUUUGAAACAAACAAUGGAGGCCAUUGCAGGGGUAAAACCCAAAAGAAAACUCUCGUACCAAAAGUUCCUAUUUUAGUACAAGCAUCUAUUAAAGGUAAUAAUAAAUUACUGGAAUAUUUAUUUUAGCAUUCCAUGAGUAGAAGGUAGAUAUAUCUAAGUUUCUCCUCUGUUUGAACUCAUUUCCUUCCCAAUUUGGCGUUUCAUCUAAAUUUAAAUCAAAUUCAUGAUUUGGUUGACGACGGACAUUAAUUCUUUGCCACAAAGUGGACAGAACAAGUCAACACCAAAAGUAAUCCAGCAAGCAAGUUUUCUCUUUCAUAAUUUCCCCUUCAUAGUUUCCCCACGGUCUAAAAUUGUCCCAAAAACUUGAGACAAAGAAUCUAGCUUAGAAAAGGCCAUAAAUUAUUUUGGCUCUUUUAUUUUGGUAUGGUUAAGUUUCAUGUCCCAUAGUUUUCAUUAUUUCAAAUUUGAAUUCAACUGAACAAAACCAAACCAACCAAUGCGCGCCCCCCGCCUAUCAAUAUUGGCUGCUGAACAAAUUGCUAGUGAAUGCGUUCACCUCUCGAUCUUGAGUUCAUACACCACUAUUUAAAUAAAACAAGCUCUAAAGUUGAAUUCAUAAUGCUAUUUUCAAAAAACUGAAACAUUGGUGCAACCAGCACUGCUUUGGCAUGCACACAGAUUAUCUAGGUUUUGCCAAUACUUAUACAAGGAAAAUUUAGAGCAACGACUGAAGUUGCUAAUAAGGAACAUUUAUCCUAUUAACAGGAAGUAGUCUUACCGAGAAGUCAUCACAAGAUGCAUUACCCGCUGCUUUUGGAAUGAACACUGCUCCACAAGAUCAAGAGUGAACUCAUCCUUUGCUCCCUCAGGAUUUUGAGAAUCAACAGCAUCAAGGACUUCUUUCAAAAUCUCUAGUGCGUUGCUAGCCUUCUGAAUGAUACUGUAUAUAAUUAAAUAAAAAACUGGGAAUCAGUAUCAUUUGAAGGAACAAAGUACAAAAUGCAUAUAAUAUUUUAUGAGGAACUAAAAAUAACCACAGCCAUAGACAUCAUCUAAAUAGAAAGCAGAACUUGAGAUAGGCAACAUCCUAACAAUAUUCAUGUCCUAGCCGUAAAUAUAUAGCAAUAAAAUUUCUAGGUAUGGAGGGAAAAAAAGACAUGUUUUGAUAAGCAGAUGGACAAAAGGUACAAAUAAGCUAAAUAAGAGCAAAAAGUGGGCCAAGCCUCUUGUGCCAAGACAUGACCUCGUAGACAACACAGAGUAACAUCUACGACUAUUUUAUAAGCCAGACAGGAAUGAGCUUCCACAAGCGUUUAUUGUGAGAUGAGUUGCUUCCACACAUUUGAGCAUGAAUUAUGGAAAUCAAACAAAUAUGCUUGUUGAUGUCUAAGAUUAAACAAUUCAAUAAAUUUCCAGAGUCAACAGGUGUGCAUUUACUAUUUUGUUUAAUCUUAUUUAUGAAAAAGAAAUAAAUUUAAAUUAAAGAGUAAGAAUAAAAUAUACCUAGGAGGAUAAAGUUUCCUCAUAAAAUAAGCAAUACUUAAAUAUUAUAACAAUUAAAAAAACCCCAAUAACAUCAAAGGAAAUUAAGAAGUAGCGCCUUCCAAAUCAAGCUAAAUAACAAAAAAGGAAAUUCCAUGAAAGGCCCAUGAUGCACCUGCAUGCAAAAAAGUCAAGAAAAAACUUCGCUCCAUAAUAGAUUUAAAAACAUAACUUGGCCCCAAAAAUGCAAGCACCCUUUCCAUCUAAAUCUCCACAACACUGCAAAGAAAGAACAAUUCUAACACUCUGUUUGAUGGGGUUAAGUUAAAGGGGAAGGGAAAAAAAAGAAAAGAGGAGUGUUUUGU